RNAcentral lists this unclassified non-coding RNA (364 nucleotides) under uncultured bacterium. RNAcentral describes it as "contains 16S-23S intergenic spacer region". The record is from RNAcentral.
UCCCGAUUGGCUCGGGCAGUCUUGUUUGAAAAAUACAACAAACAACAAGGGUUGCGCUCGUUGCGGGACUUAACCCAACAUCUCACGACACGAGCUGACGACGGCCAUGCAACACCUGUCAUAGCGGCCCGAAGGCACUCCCCCGUUUCUGGGGGAUUAGCUAUGAUGUCAAACCUUGGUAAGGUUCUUCGCGUAGCAUCGAAUUAAACCACAUGCUCCACUGCUUGUGCGGGUCCCCGUCAAUUCCUUUGAGUUUUAGCCUUGCGGCCGUACUCCCCAGGCGGGAUGCUUAACGCGUUAGCUUCGCAACGCAGAGGGUCGAUACUCCACACUACUAGCAUCCAUCGUUUACGGCGUGGACUAC